GUUUUAAUUAUUAUGCCCCACCUACGAUAGUAGAGGGGCAUUAUGUUUUCUGGUCUGUGCGUCCGUUCGUCCGUCCGUCCGUUCGUUCGUCCGUCUGUCCCGCUUCAGGUUAAAGUUUUUGGUCAAGGUAGUUUUUGAUGAAGUUGAAGUCCAAUCGACUUCAAACUUAGUAUACAUGUUCCCUAUGAUAUGAUCUUUUUAAUUUUAAUGCCAAAUUAGAGGGUUUACCCCAAUUUCACGGUCCACUGAACAUAGAAAAUGAUAGUGCGAGUGGGGCAUUCGUGUACUGGGGACAC
Molecule: long non-coding RNA, 296 nt
Filed under: Mytilus galloprovincialis (Mediterranean mussel)
Lineage: Eukaryota; Metazoa; Mollusca; Bivalvia; Mytilida; Mytilidae
Source: RNAcentral